UAUAUGAUUACAGAUGACGAAUCCACAAUAAAAAAAUAAUGUCUGUCUGUCUGUCUGUCUGUCUGUCUCUCUGUGUACACGAUAACUUGAGUAAAACUGAACCGAUUUCAAACAUUUUUUUUCCCUGAUAGGUAAUGACAAUAGCAAGACCUCAUAUGAAAAUGGGCAUAUUUGGGUCUGUACUUCCUGAAUUAGGGC
Long non-coding RNA from Bradysia coprophila, 198 nucleotides. Lineage: Eukaryota; Metazoa; Arthropoda; Insecta; Diptera; Sciaridae. The record is from RefSeq and is a predicted model, not a curated record.